UAUUGCACUUUCCCCGGCCCAU
This 22-nucleotide microRNA is filed under the name Drosophila ananassae. Its description in RNAcentral is "Dan-Mir-92-P8_3p (mature (guide))". The record is from RNAcentral. Lineage: Eukaryota; Metazoa; Arthropoda; Insecta; Diptera; Drosophilidae.